ACCUUCAUCAAAGCUGCUGCAGGUCCAUCAGCUUCGUUCCCCUGGAACUAAAGAGCCUUGUAAGAACUUCACGAGGACCAUUCAUCCAGGGAGUCCUCAACCUCAGUUCUCACAGUCAGUCGUACCCACACCACCAGGUUGACUGCCAGAAAAUGCAGCUCUAGCCAUGUGAGUCCCUUGCUCUUCGCGGGCUCCCUGCAGCUUUCUGAUACAGGUACAAACUCCACAGUUUGGAAUUCGCAGAAUUACUUCAAUCCAGCUCUCUCUGCUUCGCUCCCUGCCGUUAACCUUGCCCUGCCAAGCCCUGUUCCCUCUGGAGGGAGGACCCUUUCCAGGACAGCCUCCGCAGCUGUGUGCUUCUUCUCGGGGGGCCUUCAGCGGGCUGUGCUCCUGGGACACUGGCCGCUGGCCUCCUCCUUCAAAGCCAGCAGAGGCCCCCCUCCCCCAGGAAGUUUUUUUUUCCUCAUAUUUCUCCAAACUGACCAGCACCUUGAACAGCAUCUUGAUAAUCAAGUCCACACAGCAGCCCGCAGUGUAUAAACCUUUCUCUUGGUAUUCUUGCCCAGCUAUCCGUGGCCUACCUCCUGCUGAAACAAGAAAGUGAGGGGAGUUCCCACGGUGAGAAUGUGGCUUGGUAUUUUCAUGUAUGUUAAUGAAAAGAUGAAGGUGAAGGAUGUUUGCUAGAAGUUUACUGAUUCUUUAAUGAUACGUGUGACUAUCUUGCUGACUCAAAUAGUAGCUUUCGAAUAUG
Molecule: long non-coding RNA, 751 nt
Filed under: Bos indicus x Bos taurus (hybrid cattle)
Lineage: Eukaryota; Metazoa; Chordata; Mammalia; Artiodactyla; Bovidae
Description: lncRNA (ENSBIXG00000010471.1)
Source: RNAcentral